CACGGGGGUUGCGAGCGUUGUCCGGAAUUACUAGGCGUAAAGGGCAGGCAGGCGGAUCCAUAAGUUUAUCGUUUAAGGCGUCGGCUUAACCGGCGUAGGGCGGUAGAUACUGUGGAUCUGGAAUGCGGUUGGGGAAGACAGAAUUCCUGGUGUAGCGGUGGAAUGCGCAGAGAUCAGGAGGAAUACCGAAGGCGAAGGCAGUCUUCCAAGCUGUUAUUGACGCUCAACUGCGAAGGUGUGGGUAUCAAACAGGAUUAGAUACCCGCGUAGUCCCUGA
Molecule: ribosomal RNA, 277 nt
Filed under: uncultured prokaryote
Description: partial 16S ribosomal RNA
Rfam family: Bacterial small subunit ribosomal RNA
Source: RNAcentral